UGCGCAGGCGGACUUUUAAGUCAGUGGUGAAAUCCCGAGGCUCAACCUCGGAACUGCCAUUGAUACUGGAAGUCUUGAAUUUGGCUGAAGUGGGCGGAAUGUAGCAUGUAGCGGUGAAAUGCAUAGAUAUGCUACAGAACACCGAUCGCGAAGGCAGCUCACUAAGCCAAUACUGACGCUCAGGCACGAAAGCGUGGGUAGCGAACAGGAUUAGAUACCCUGGUAGUCC
Molecule: ribosomal RNA, 229 nt
Filed under: uncultured bacterium
Lineage: Bacteria
Description: partial 16S ribosomal RNA
Rfam family: Bacterial small subunit ribosomal RNA
Source: RNAcentral